RNAcentral lists this ribosomal RNA (497 nucleotides) under uncultured bacterium. Its description in RNAcentral is "partial 16S ribosomal RNA". It matches the Rfam family "Bacterial small subunit ribosomal RNA", at positions 28 to 507 of the family's 1533-position model. The record is from RNAcentral.
GAUGAACGCUGGCGGCGUGCCUAAUACAUGCCAGUCGAGCGAACAGACGAGGAGCUUGCUCCUCUGACGUUAGCGGCGGACGGGUGAGUAACACGUGGAUAACCUACCUAUAAGACUGGGAUAACUUCGGGAAACCGGAGCUAAUACCGGAUAAUAUAUUGAACCGCAUGGUUCAAUAGUGAAAGACGGCUUUGCUGUCACUUAUAGAUGGAUCCGCGCCGCAUUAGCUAGUUGGUAAGGUAACGGCUUACCAAGGCAACGAUGCGUAGCCGACCUGAGAGGGUGAUCGGCCACACUGGAACGGAGACACGGUCCAGACUCCUACGGGAGGCAGCAGUAGGGAAUCUUCCGCAAUGGGCGAAAGCUUGACGGAGCAACGCCGCGUGAGUGAUGAAGGUCUUCGGAUCGUAAAACUCUGUUAUUAGGGAAGAACAAAUGUGUAAGUAACUAUGCACGUCUUGACGGUACCUAAUCAGAAAGCCACGGCUAACUACGUG